AGAGUUAAACAGUACGUGAAAUUGCUAAAAGGGAAACGUUUGAAAUCAGUGUGGUGCCUCGUAAAUCAGUCGUCUGGGCAACUGGACGGUGCACUUUACGCGGCACUGGUCACCAUCAGUUUAGGAGGGCGUAGAACACUUGUGGAAGGUGGCUGCUGCUUGCAGUAGUGUUAUAGCCGCAAGGAAUCCGUCCUUCUAGACUGAGGACCGCAGUACAGGCCGCAAGGCAGGGCUCCUAGGAGGCUAUCGGGAAGGAGGUUAAUGACAGCUCGCUGACUUUAGUCUCUGGACUGGUACUCAAAUCUUGGAUAGUCACUUCUGUGCUUAGGAUGGUGACGAAAUGGUUUUAAACGACC
This 356-nucleotide ribosomal RNA is filed under the name uncultured fungus. Its description in RNAcentral is "eukaryotic LSU rRNA". Lineage: Eukaryota; Fungi. The record is from RNAcentral.